AUACGUAGGUGGCAAGCGUUGUCCGGAAUUAUUGGGCGUAAAGCGCAUGUAGGCGGUGCCUUAAGUCUGUCGUGAAACUGCGGGGCCUAACCCCGUAUGGCGAUGGAAACUGUGGCACUUGAGUGCAGGAGAGGAAAGGGGAACUCCCAGUGUAGCGGUGAAAUGCGUAGAUAUUGGGAAGAACACCGGUGGCGAAGGCGCCUUUCUGGGCUGUGUCUGACGCUGAGAUGCAAAAGCCAGGGUAGCGAACGGGAUUAGAUACCCCGGUAGUCCUGGCCGUAAACGAUGGGUACUAGGUGUGGGAGGUAUCGACCCCUUCCGUGCCGGAGUUAACGCAAUAAGUACCCCGCCUGGGGAGUACGGCCGCAAGGCUUAAACUCAAAGGAAUUGACGGGG
RNAcentral lists this ribosomal RNA (396 nucleotides) under uncultured bacterium. Its description in RNAcentral is "partial 16S ribosomal RNA". It matches the Rfam family "Bacterial small subunit ribosomal RNA", at positions 523 to 918 of the family's 1533-position model. The record is from RNAcentral.